AACGCGAAGAACCUUACCUGGGCUCGAACGGCUAUUGAUCGGUGGUAGAAAUAUCGCCUUUCCCGCAAGGGACUGUAGUCGAGGUGCUGCAUGGCUGUCGUCAGCUCGUGUCGUGAGAUGUUGGGUUAAGUCCCGCAACGAGCGCAACCCUUGUCCUGUGUUGCUAACCCCUUAAUUGGGAGCACUCUGGACAGACUGCCUCGCUUCAACGAGGAGGAAGGUGGGGAUGACGUCAAGUCAGUAUGGCCCUUACGGCCAGGGCUGCACACGUACUACAAUGCCCGGUACAAAGGGAAGCAAGAGCGUAAGCUGGAGCAAAUCCCCCAAAACGGGCCCAGUUCAGAUUGCCGUCUGCAACUCGACGGCAUGAAGCUGGAAUCGCUAGUAAUGGCGCAUCAGCUACGGCGCCGUGAAUACGUUCCCGGGCCUUGUACACACCGGCUAC
Molecule: ribosomal RNA, 445 nt
Filed under: uncultured bacterium
Lineage: Bacteria
Description: bacterial SSU rRNA
Rfam family: Bacterial small subunit ribosomal RNA
Source: RNAcentral